This is a long non-coding RNA of Portunus trituberculatus (swimming crab), 234 nucleotides long. RefSeq lists it as uncharacterized. Lineage: Eukaryota; Metazoa; Arthropoda; Malacostraca; Decapoda; Portunidae. The transcript is spliced from 2 exons. The record is from RefSeq and is a predicted model, not a curated record.
AUGGGAGAGGACGUGUCUGGCAAUGGCAGCCUUGGUGGAGCACACUUUCCCACAGUGGUCACAAGUGUAGGUCCUGCCGCCAGUGUGUUCAGUGGGGCCACUCUUGCCUCUCAGCCUUGUCUUGCCGGCAUGGGAGAGGACGUGUCUGGCAAUGGCAGCCUUGGUGGAGCACACUUUCCCGCAGUGGUCACAAGUGUAGGUCCUCACGCCUGGGGUUGCCCUCUGCUCCUGGCU